AUGGCCUUCGCAAUGCGCCUAGCGUCCUGCCCCGGCGCGUCGCUGCAGGCGGCGACGGCCUGGCCGUCCAACCUCGGCUCCCCGGCGCCGCGGCUGCGGCCGCGCUGGCGGUGGCCACGCCUCCGGCCGUCCGCGGCCGCCUCGGACCAGCAGGCGCUUCUGGCCGCCCUGCGCGAGCAGGCGGACCCCGAGGCGGCGCUCCGGAUGCUCAACUCGGCGCUCGCGCGGGACGACUUCGCCCCCGGCCGCGACGUCUACGAGGAGAUCAUCCGGAAGCUCGGGACGGCCGGCGCCUUCGACCUCAUGAAGGUGCUCGUCAGGGAGAUGCGCCAGGAAGGGCACCAGGUUGGGCCCGGCGUGGUGCAGUCGUUUGUAGAGGGCUACGCGCGGCUGCACAUGUUCGAUGAUGCCUUCGACUUGGUUCUGAACCAGCUUGAUAUGUUCGGUAUUCAGGGAGAUACAGUGGUGGUGGCGUACAAUCACCUUCUCCGUGUUCUCAUGGAGGGGAGUAAGAUCAAGCUCCUUGAGUCCGCUUAUACGGAGAUGAGCAAUCGGGGUAUCAAGCCUGACCUUGUCACUUACAACACUGUGAUCAAUGCAUUGUGUCGAGUUCAUCAGGUUAGGACUGCAGUUUUGAUGCUGGAGGACAUGUCUAGCAACGGUGUGGCACCUGACGAGGUGACAUUCACUACGUUGAUGCAAGGUUUUGUCGAGGAGGGGAGCAUCGAGGCGGCACUGAGGAUGAAGGCACGGAUGUCAGAAAUGGGAUGCUCGCCAACGAGUGUAACUGUCAAUGUUUUGAUUAGCGGCUACUGCAAGCUGGGAAGAGUCGAAGAUGCUCUCAGUUAUGUACAGCAAGAGAUUGCAGAUGGUUUUGAACCUGACCAGGUCACAUUCACUACAUUUGUUAAUGGUCUCUGCCAAAACGGGCAUGUCGAUCAUGCCCUCAAAGUCAUGGAUUUGAUGCUCCAGCAGGGUAGUGACCCAGAUGUUUUCACCUACACUACUGUUGUAAACUGCUUGUGUCAAAAUGGAGAACUUGAGGAGGCUAAGGCAGUCAUAAAUCAUAUGGUGGAUAGCGGUUGUUUGCCUGACGUUACCACCUUCAAUACUCUCAUUGUUGCCCUAUGCACAGAGAAUCGGCUUGAGGAAGCCUUGAACCUUGCACGUGAUCUGACGGUGAAGGGACUCUCUCCAAAUGUUUAUACUUUCAACAUUUUGAUAGAUGCCCUCUGCAAGGUUGGAGAUCCUCAUCUUGCUGUUCGAUUGUUUGAAGAGAUGAAAAGCAGUGGAUGCACCCCUGAUGAACUUACAUACAAUAUAUUGAUUGAUAACCUGUGCUCAUCGGGGAAGCUUGCCAAAGCUUUGGAUUUGUUGAAGGAGAUGGAAAUUAGUGGUUGUCCUCUGAGCACAGUGACAUAUAACACUAUAAUUGAUGGGUUAUGCAAGAAAUUGAGAAUAGAAGAAGCAGAGGAGGUUUUUGAUCAAAUGGAUGUAACAGGUAUUGAAAGGAAUGCGAUCACAUUCAAUACACUUGUUGAUGGAUUGUGCAUGGCCGAAAGGAUUGACGAUGCAGCAGAACUUAUUGAACAAAUGAUAAGUGAAGGGUUGCAACCUAAUAAUAUCACUUACAAUUCUAUUCUAACUCAUUACUGCAAGCAAGGAAACAUAGCUAAAGCUGCUGAUGUUUUACAAACUAUGACCGAAAAUGGAUUUGAAGUUGAUACUGUUACAUAUGCAACACUCAUUAAUGGCCUGUGCAAGGCUCGUCGGACUCAGGCUGCUUUGAAGCUUCUUAGAGGUAUGCGGAUGAAAGGGAUGAGGCCAACUCCAAAAGCCUUCAACACUGUGAUUCAGUCUCUAUUUAAAGGGAAUAAUGGCAGAGAUGCUCUGAAUCUGUAUAGGGAGAUGACAGAAGUUGGUGAGCCUCCUGAUGCUUUGACAUAUAAAAUUGUUUUCCGUGGUCUCUGUCGUGGUGGUGGCCCUAUUAAAGAAGCUUUUGAUUUCUUGGUAGAGAUGGCAGAUAAGGGUUUCAUACCAGAGUUUUCAUCAUUCCGCAUGCUAGCUGAUGGUCUACUGAACCUGGGUAUGGAUGAUUACCUCAUAAGUGCUAUUGAACUAAUUGCAGAGAAGGCCAACUUCAGAGAAUCCGAUGUUUCUGCAAUAAGGGGUUAUCUCAGGAUCCGUAAAUUUUAUGAUGCAUUAGCAACUUUUGGCCGUCUCCUGGAUAUCAACAACCCUCGAUGGACUUAUCGAUGA
RNAcentral lists this ribosomal RNA (2259 nucleotides) under Triticum aestivum (bread wheat). RNAcentral's name for it is "partial small subunit ribosomal RNA". The record is from RNAcentral. Lineage: Eukaryota; Viridiplantae; Streptophyta; Magnoliopsida; Poales; Poaceae.